Molecule: ribosomal RNA, 468 nt
Filed under: uncultured bacterium
Lineage: Bacteria
Description: partial 16S ribosomal RNA
Rfam family: Bacterial small subunit ribosomal RNA
Source: RNAcentral
GACGAACGCUGGCGGCGUGCUUAACACAUGCAAGUCGAACGGAAAGGCCCUGCUUUUGUGGGGUGCUCGAGUGGCGAACGGGUGAGUAACACGUGAGUAACCUGCCCUUGACUUUGGGAUAACUUCAGGAAACUGGGGCUAAUACCGGAUAGGAGCUCCUGCUGCAUGGUGGGGGUUGGAAAGUUUCGGCGGUUGGGGAUGGACUCGCGGCUUAUCAGCUUGUUGGUGGGGUAGUGGCUUACCAAGGCUUUGACGGGUAGCCGGCCUGAGAGGGUGACCGGCCACAUUGGGACUGAGAUACGGCCCAGACUCCUACGGGAGGCAGCAGGGGGGAAUAUUGCACAAUGGGCGGAAGCCUGAUGCAGCAACGCCGCGUGCGGGAUGCCGGCCUUCGGGUUGUAAACCGCUUUCGCCUGUGACGAAGCGUGAGUGACGGUAAUGGGUAAAGAAGCACCGGCUAACUACGUG